CCUGACAGCUCAAAAAUCACAAAAUCGUAGCGUAUGAUCUGCUGAAGAUCUUCUGCAGGGUUAAAGAGGAAAUGCUCCCUCCAUUCAUUCCAGUCCAGAGUCAUGGUUCCAUCCACAUCAAUGCUGGAGGAUAAAGGGUCAAAGGUCAAAUCAGAACAAUUUCCUGUGUGAUCAAUCUAUACUUGAGUUUAAUCUGUGAAUCUGCAGAAAAGGUUAAUGAUAUUUCUUCCUUGACCUCAUAUACAGUACACCGUUAAAGACAUAAAUAUUAGCCCUUCUCUAAAACUUUAAAGUCCAUGUCAAAUCUAAAUCUUGAAUUUGCUAGCUCACAUUGUUAUUUGUAAAGUUCAUAAUUAAUCUGUGCCAGUUAAUCCUCAGGGAAAAAUAAGUUUGUUCUGGUUAUUUUUAAUCGAAGUUUCUUUGGAGCAGGGAGGUCAAAACCCGGGGGCUUCCAUACCAACUGCACAGUAUAUCAAUAACCUUAGCCAUGCCUCUCUUACCAUUACUUUGCUAUGAGAGAAUGAUGUGCCAAAAGAAAGUCCCACGCCAUAAUCAAUAUUCCAUUUGAGUUGAAAGUACAUCAACAUACUGAAAUAAAAGUCUCAGCA
RNAcentral lists this long non-coding RNA (608 nucleotides) under Danio rerio (zebrafish). RNAcentral's name for it is "si:ch211-63o20.12 (ENSDARG00000097362.2)". The record is from RNAcentral. Lineage: Eukaryota; Metazoa; Chordata; Actinopteri; Cypriniformes; Danionidae.